This is a non-coding RNA of Coturnix japonica (Japanese quail), 1504 nucleotides long. NCBI's taxonomy places the organism in Eukaryota, Metazoa, Chordata, Aves, Galliformes, Phasianidae. The record is from RefSeq and is a predicted model, not a curated record.
UCGCACCGCCAUUCAGGUACCCCAGAGCUCUGAACUUCUCCUACCUUCCCAGGUGUGUCGGGUCGUUCUCUCAGCUGGUUCUGUGCUGCCCUGGACGUGCCUGCAGCCUGAUUCACGGGCACCUCCGAGCCUGCAGGAUCAAGCUCCACCCAGGGCAGAGGGUCAUACUUUGGCCAUCUGGUUUUCAUCUUUGAGCUGAACUGUCUGUGCUGCCCUGGUGUAGGCAGGCUGUGCCAAAGGACUCUCAGGGCUGUGUGCCAUCUUUAAGCUGCUCGUCUUUGUGUCAUCAGAGCUUAUCAUGAAUGGCAGAGACAACUGAAACUAAGGGAAAGGUUUCUUUUCCUGAUUGAAGUCAUCUCCAGUUUCUGAAAUCUUCUGCAUGACUGAGCAGAGAAUGCCACGCUUGAGCUUGGGAUCAUAGAAUCCCAGAAUGGCCUGGGUUGCAAAGGCCCACAGUGCUCAUCCAGUUCCAACCCCCUGCUAUGUGCAGGUUGCCAACCACCAGACCAGGCUGAGAUCCAGGAUUGAUGCGCUGAACUGAAGAUGACUCUAAGAAAAGCAACUUCCAUUAUGAGGUUGGGACUCGUCCCUGUAUGACACUGAAAUACCACAGAAUCAUAGAACAUCCCCAGUUGGAUGGUUUCCAUCACGUCCAACUCCCUGCAGUUCAAACCAUAUUUCUGAGAGCAUUUAUCUAAAUGGUUCUUCAGCUCUUAAUGACUUUGGCCCUUCCUGAGCCGCUGUCCAAAAUGCCCCUGAAAAAUACCCAGGAUGGCUGAUUUUCAGGGGGGGAUUCCUAACAGAGGAUCUCAUUUCUGAGGGUCUGCAAUAAUCCACUACACCACAAUGAUCACACUACACCACACUACACCACAAUGAUAUUGCUUGCAUGUUUCCACUCAGUAAUUAGUAAUAAUAAGUUUUGAAAUAACAUGUUUUUUCAUGUAAUACAUUUUUUAUUCUGCAAGUUGAUUGUGUUUUUUUUCCUUAUUAUUUCCAAGAUAAUAGUAGUUAUUUUAAGGGAAACCUCAGUGAAUGUGUUCAAUAAUACAAUUGUUUGCUUUCCUAAUUAUAAUGUAUAUAUUGUCACACUGGCUUCACUUUGUAAUACAUCUGGAUAAUUACUAUUUGUCACUAAUGUCUCCACCAGGGCCCUUCUAUGCUAUAACUGCCUUUGAACAAAGAGCCAAUAGGAAGGAAACGUUUGCUGCCCCAGAAUGCUGAUAAUCUCAGUUAAUGACACGAUGCUGCUGUGGGAUCAACCAAGGAGUCAGAAAUGAGCAAACCUCAUUUCAGGUGUAAUGUUUUUUCUCCAGUUACCUCUGGUGUACACAUCUACUGGUCUCCUUGGUUGAGAUCCAUGUUUCCAUCUCACCAUUUGUGUCAAUAAAAAUCAGAGUAAAUUACUGCAAAAAUAAUAGAUUCUAUUUCCCCCCCACAUCUAACUGCAUGCAGCGUGUUUUUAUCCAGCUGCUCACAAAAAGAAACUCACUGCAUUUCCUUG